Molecule: ribosomal RNA, 402 nt
Filed under: Triticum aestivum (bread wheat)
Lineage: Eukaryota; Viridiplantae; Streptophyta; Magnoliopsida; Poales; Poaceae
Description: partial small subunit ribosomal RNA
Source: RNAcentral
AUGCCCACAAGUUGCAAUGAUGACACAUAUAUGUCAACUAUGGGUGUUGGCUCCAACAAUUCUCAUUGGUCUCAAACCAAUGAAGUGUAUGAAGAUGAUCAUUUUGAGUGGGAGGUGGACGAGGAUGGUGAGGGUAUUGUCGAUGCACCGAAAGAAAGAGCGGGCAACUACACCAUGGACGAAGACAUCUUGCUAUGCAAUACAUGGUUGCAUGUGUCUAUGGAUGCCAACAUUAGAGGGGACCAAAGUAGAGAUGCAUAUUGGGACCGGAUGAAGGAGCACUUUGAUUUACACAACAAGAGUGGAAUUGACCGCAUGGGUAGAUCUCUUCGCUCCCGGUGGUCGACAAUCAACAAAUAUUAUCAAAGGUGGGCGGCAGCACUUAAGGCAGUUGACACGAUA